AAAAAAAUUGAGUUAAACUCACAUAAACUUUUGAACUUUUUUUUAAAAGAAAUAAACUUAUUUCAUAUAAUUUUGAAAAAACAUUAACAAUAGUCCACGUGAACUUAACUUAAUAAAUGAACAUCACAUUAUAUAUACAGUAAUUAAUUGUAGCGUGCUUUCUAUUAGUCAUCCUUACUAACUUAGCGUCGGAGCACCUGCAAGUACACAACCUCUCUUCCAUUCACCGAAACGGAAGAGAAGUAUCAUUGGCGAAGUCAUCUCUGAUCCAUGUAGCUAUUAACCUAGGUGCUGCAAAAUUGUUUGCAGAUUCACCUUUUUUAGCUUUAGUGUAUAUAUAUCCGUCCUAACUAGCUUAUGCGCAUUAUUUUGAAAAUAAAAAAUGAAAAAAUUAUUGAAAAAUUUGAAGAUAAAAUUACAUAAAUACAAAAUUAUUGAAAAUACUACUAAAUGUUGCUGUUGGCACUUGGCAUCAUGGCAAGGGAUGAUUAAUUCUCGCCGAAUCAUUAUUAUCAGUUUUUCAUAGCAUGAAACUAUACACCUUACUCAACCAACCGAAACCUUUGCACGGUUUUUCAGCUUGUGUGGAACACGAACCAAACGACACCGUUACGCUAUCAUCUACACCAUCACUCUCUCCAAUGUUGUUCUU
This 652-nucleotide long non-coding RNA is filed under the name Trifolium pratense (red clover). RNAcentral describes it as "long non-coding RNA (TPRA_LNC013091)". Lineage: Eukaryota; Viridiplantae; Streptophyta; Magnoliopsida; Fabales; Fabaceae. The record is from RNAcentral.